CUCCUACGGGGGCAGGCAGUGGGGAAUAUUGGACAAUGGGGGCAACCCGUGAUCCAGCAAUGCCGCGUGAGUGAUGAAGGCCUUCGGGUUGUAAAGCUCUUUCGGCGGGGAAGAUGAUGACGGUACCCGCAGAAGAAGCCCGGCUAACUUCGUGCCAGCAGCCGCGGUAAUUC
RNAcentral lists this ribosomal RNA (173 nucleotides) under uncultured bacterium. RNAcentral describes it as "partial 16S ribosomal RNA". It matches the Rfam family "Bacterial small subunit ribosomal RNA", at positions 336 to 526 of the family's 1533-position model. The record is from RNAcentral.